ACUGCAUAGAGCGAUGACAAAACAUCUCAGUCUUUUGCUUGCCAUCUUGGUCAUUGUCAAUAAAACAUUAAACACUGAAGAGGAGCUGAAGGAAACUGGGACAGCAGUUACAGUGCUUCACCAUAGGGAACCUUCACUACCGGCACUCUAAGAUGUUCCCUAUGAAUCUGUCACUAAUGACUCUUGUCGAUUUGGGCACCAGCGUCAGGCGCCCUAGUGUUCUUGACAGCUUGGGAAAAGCACCUGUCAAGCCUCUGAAGACGGUCUCAGCGUCUGUGCCCUGGUGGCAGGAUGAUAAUGACAUUGAAGAGGCACCAGGCAAGCCUUAACAUGAAACCCGCAGGGCAAGCGGAAAAGAGGCAGGCCAAGAAACACAUGGCGUCGAGAACUGGAGGCAGAUAUAAAGAACAUGAAUAUUACCUGGAACCAACUAGAGAAGAGACCCCAGGACAGAGACUCUUGGAGAUCCCUAAUUGGCGGCCUAUGCCCCAAAAGUCUCUGAGGAAGACGCCAUCCAUUAAGUGGACGAAGAACAGCCGAAGGAGCUAUUCUUGGAGGAUGAAGGGAAUAGAGACCAAGUCAUAUUUAGUAGAGACAGUCUUGAGACUGAAGAGGAGAAGAAAUGGAUUCAAUACAUGA
Molecule: long non-coding RNA, 639 nt
Filed under: Carassius auratus (goldfish)
Lineage: Eukaryota; Metazoa; Chordata; Actinopteri; Cypriniformes; Cyprinidae
Description: lncRNA (ENSCARG00000060572.1)
Source: RNAcentral